CCUACGGGUGGCUGCAGUGGGGAAUAUUGGACAAUGGGGGCAACCCUGAUCCAGCCAUGCCGCGUGUGUGAAGAAGGCCCUCGGGUUGUAAAGCACUUUCAGUGAGGAAGAACGCCUGGUGGUUAAUACCCAUCAGGAAAGACAUCACUCACAGAAGAAGCACCGGCUAACUCCGUGCCAGCAGCCGCGGUAAUACGGAGGGUGCGAGCGUUAAUCGGAAUUACUGGGCGUAAAGCACGCGUAGGUGGCUUGAUAAGCCGGUUGUGAAAGCCCCGGGCUCAACCUGGGAACGGCAUCCGGAACUGUCAAGCUAGAGUGCAGGAGAGGAAGGUAGAAUUCCCGGUGUAGCGGUGAAAUGCGUAGAGAUCGGGAGGAAUACCAGUGGCGAAGGCGGCCUUCUGGACUGACACUGACACUGAGGUGCGAAAGCGUGGGUAGCAAACAGGAUUAGAUACCCUUGUAGUC
Molecule: ribosomal RNA, 465 nt
Filed under: Vreelandella stevensii
Lineage: Bacteria; Pseudomonadati; Pseudomonadota; Gammaproteobacteria; Oceanospirillales; Halomonadaceae
Description: partial 16S ribosomal RNA
Rfam family: Bacterial small subunit ribosomal RNA
Source: RNAcentral